CGGAGUGGCUGCAGGCUCACAGGCUUAGUAGGGCGUGUCUCCCAGCCUCAUUUUGCAAAUGAGGAAGCUGAGGCUCAGAGAGGGAAGUGAGCUGACCUGCGUCACACAGCGGCAGGCGGCAGGCAAGGGGGGGUUCUGCCCCAGUGUCCCCCACCCCGGUUCCAGAACACACUUGGGUGCGGCGCCGUCCACCACCACCGUCUGACGAGCAGGACCCUGCAGGGCCCAGGAUGACCUCCUGUCUGACGGCCCCUCCCUGGGGCUCCUGGGAGGAAGGCUGCAGUGGCCAUGAACGUUGGCCAAGCAACCACAGCUGACUCAGAAACCUCCUUGCAGCCAGAGGAAGCUGGGAAGAGGCAAGCCCGCUGGGCGCCCACGGGCCAGCUCUGGGAUCAUUCUGGAGGAUCACUUCCCUUGACAACGAUGUCAGCCUACAGAGGCCUGGGGCUCCUCGCAGGGCCCCGACUUGAUGGGACCAAGGUUCGGGGCGCAGGGCUGAAGCCCAGGACCACGCUGUGGCACUCUGGCACCUCUCUGGCCCGCAGUUUCCCUGGCCGCCUGUGGUGGGAGGUGGGCACAGUUCCAAGCCGGUUCCAAGCCCAAGGUGCUUGAGUCCCUGCUGGGAGCUGCAGCAGAGGGAGGCGCUGGCCGCGUGGUCUGGAGGGCCCCGAUCCUACGAGGGCUGCUCUGCUCUAGCACCUUCCUUGGCUACCGCCUCACCCCCUCUGGGAGGCUGGCCUCCCCCACCUCGCACAGCCGGGUUCAGCCAGACCAUCCUCCCGUCCUCCCGGCCAGUGCUUCUGCCUGAGCCUUUACCCAGGCCCCCACCCCAGCCCAGAGGGCACCCCUCUAAGUGGGGAAGGGAGGGUCCCCAGCCUUGGGGACUGUCUGUCCUCGACCCAGUGUGGGGGUCCAGGCAGGUAGUCUCUCCCUUCUCAGCGAGCGGUCCUCCAGACUCGAAGGCUGGCCUCCUCUUAUGGUGCUUUGAGGCCAGCCCCCUCACCUGGGGCAGGUCUUCUCCAGGCCGGGAGCAGCUUCAGGGGCUGCCUGUGCCUGGGGGAGGGGGUGCACGCCCCACCAUCCCGCCCCUGCCUGUCACUGCUGUCACGCUAUCCCCGCAACCCGGCGGGGCGGGGGGCCCGGCCCCCGCCCCCUGCCCUCCUCGCUCCUGGACAUAAGCCUUUUCAGACCACCACCCCCCUUUCUCCUAUAUUAGUGUCCUCAGGCUGCUAUAAGCAGUGACCAUGAACUUGGCUUAAAACAACAGGUAUGUAUUGUCUUCCAGUUCUGGAGGCCAGGAGUCUGACAUCAAGUUGUCGGCAGGGGUGGUCGGUUUCCUCUGGAGGCUCAGAGGGGCGUCUGCUCCCAGGCCUCUCACCCACCUCCCAGGGAGUGCUCGUGGCCCUCAGCAUUCCUGGGCGAGGGGGUACAUCGCUCCAGCCUCAGUUGUCACGUCUCCCCUCCAUGCUUCUGUGUUCUCUGCUCCUCUUUGAAGGGUACUUCUCACUGGAUUUGGGAUCCACCAAAUCCAGGCUCAUUUCCCAUGAUGGCAAGGUGACGCUCAAAAUCCUUUAAGCUAGGCUUCCGCAGUAUGUGCCCUGAGAACUUGCAGAUGUGCAAGCUGGGUUUCGAAGAGGCAGAGGAACCAGAGAUCAAAUUGCCAACAGUCUUUGGAUCAUAGAGAAAGCAAGGGAGUUACAGAAAACUAUCUACUUCUGCUUCAUUGAUUAUGCUAAAGCUUUUGACUGUGUGGAUCGCAACAUACUGUGGAAAAUUCUUAAAGAGGUGGGAAUACCAGACUACCUCACCUGUCUCCUGAGAAACCUGUAUGCAGGUCAGGAAGCAACAGUUAGAAGCAGACAUGGAACAACUGACUGGUUCCAAAUUGGGAAAGGAGUAUGACAAGGCUGUAUAAUGUUGCCCUGCUUAUUUAACUUCUAUACAGAGUACAUUGGGUGAAAUGCUGGGCUGGAUGAAUCACUAGCUGAAAUCAAAAUUGUCAGGAGAAGUAUCAACGGUCUCAGAUAUGCAGAUGAUAUCACUCUAAUGCCAGAAAGUGAAGAGGAACUAAAGAGCCUCUUGAUGAGGGUGAGAAUGAAAAAGCUGGCUUGAAAUUCAACAUUCAAAAAACGAAGAUCAUGGCAUCCAGUCCCAUCACUGCAUGGCAAAGAGAAGGGAAAAAUUUUGAAGUAAUGACAGAUUUUACUUUUUGGGCUCCAAAAUUACUAUGGACAGCGACUGCAACCAUGAAAUUAAAAGAGGCUUGCUUCUUGGAAGGAAGGCUAUGACAAACCUACACAGCAUAUUAAAAAGCAGAGACAUCACUUUGCUGACAAAGGUCUGUAGAGUAAAUGCUAUGAUUUUUCCAGUAGUUAUGUACAGAUGUGAGUGUUGGAUCAUAAAGAAGGCUGAGUGCCAAAGAAUGGAUGCUUUCAAGCUGUGGUGCUGGAGAACACUCUUGAGAGUCCCCUGGACUGCAAGAUCAAACCAGUCAAUGCUAAAGGAAAUGAGCCCUGAAUGUUCAUUGGAAGGGCUGAUGCUGAAGCUGAGGCUCCAAUACUUUAGUCACCUGAUGAGCUGACUCAUUGGAAAAGACCCUGUGCUGGCAAAGAUCAAAGGUGAAAGGAGACGAGGGAGGCAGAGGAUGAGAUGGUUAGACAGCAUUAUUGACUCAAUGGACGUGAGUUUGAGCAGACUCAGGGAGACAGUGAAGGACAGAGAAGCCUGGCUUGCUGCAGUCCAUGGGGUUUCUAAGAAUCAGAUACAACUUAGUAACUGAAAAACAACAAAUCCAGGCUGAACCCCGUCCCAAGGUCCUUCACUUAAUUAUGUCUGCAAAGACUCUUUCUGUAAAUAAGAUCCCCUCCACAAGUUCUGGGGGUUAAGAAUUGGACCUAUCUUUUUGGGGGAGGCCAUCAUUCAACCAGGGUCUCCUAGGGGGCGCAGUAGUCAAGAAUCCAUCUGCCCGCCAGUGCGGGAGACACAAGAGACAGGGGUUCAAUCCCUGGGUUGGGACGAUCCCCUGGAGAAGGAAAUGGCAAUUCACUCCAGUAUUCUUGCCUGGAGAAUCCCAUGGACGGAGGAGCCUGGCGGGCUCUGGUCUAUGGGGUCUCAAAGAGUCAGACGUGGCCGGGCACACACACACCCACACACGCACCACUCAACCCUUAAAUGCCAAGGGCCCGCAGCUGCGUCUGCCCUCUCUGCCUACCAGAGCCCCUGCACUUCAUCACAGCAGCCUGGGGGCCACGGAAGGCACCCUUGACAUGUGUGAGUCAGGAGGGGCAGGGAGCCCAGCUGAUGGGAGCAGGAGUGGUGGCUUGGAGAGCGGGCAGCUCCAGGCCUGCCCCCGGGAAUGUGGACGGGAUGCAUGGACAGACAGGUGCGCCCCUGUGCCCCUGGCUGGUCCUGGGGGCCCCAGGCCCCCGCCCCGUGGGCCGUCAACCCCUCAAUGGCCGGUGUUCUACAGGGGCCUCCCACUAGCAGGCCGUGGGCAUGAGCCUCAGGUCUGGGCAUGAGUGCCGGGCAAGUGGCCACUGGGCCUGGGGCCAGUGAGGCCCAGAGCUCCCCCACUGCAAUUGCCCCACCAGCGGAAGGCGACUCCCGCCUGUAGUCGCGGUGCCAGAACCCGCUGCUCCUCCAAGGUUCCUUUUACAACAAGUGGAUGCUUGGCUCCGAGCUCAGCAGCCGGGACUGAGGCUGGGUCUGAGGGCUCCCACAUCGAGGGUGGCCUCCUUGGCCCCGGCUCGCAGAGCUGGGAGCUCCACCAUGUCUUCUGUGAGCCCUGCUCCAGGCUCGGCCUCCCGAGUGUAGCGUGGGG
This is a long non-coding RNA of Bos grunniens (domestic yak), 3820 nucleotides long. NCBI's taxonomy places the organism in Eukaryota, Metazoa, Chordata, Mammalia, Artiodactyla, Bovidae. The record is from Ensembl.